This 1134-nucleotide long non-coding RNA is filed under the name Salvia miltiorrhiza (redroot sage). RNAcentral's name for it is "long non-coding RNA (SMIL_LNC007347)". The record is from RNAcentral. Lineage: Eukaryota; Viridiplantae; Streptophyta; Magnoliopsida; Lamiales; Lamiaceae.
UGGCACUUUCAUUUUAAUUUUGUUUAGUUUUUUUGGCUAUUUACGGUCUCAGUACAACUCAAUGUACAAUAUUUAUUUCUACUUAAUACAUAAACUCUAAAUCUGGAAUAUUUAUAGCUAAUAUUUCUGCAUUUUCUCUGCAGAUGAAGGCUUGAAUCUGGUGCAUGGGAACCUCUCGAAUCUGCAAAAGCAACAAAUAAAAGGUUUGUGUAUAUUCCAGAUUUACAGGAAAAAUAGAUAAUAUUGUAUAUCUACUUUAGGAAUAAGUUGGCAGAAGUAGAUGAAAUUUCAUAUAUGUAAUCUUUAUUAAGAAAAAUUAUAUAUAUAUGUUAAAAUAUGUUACCAUUUCUCCAACUCACUUGUGCAGAUGGCAAAAAUCAUUUUAGAAUAAAUGAAUUUUGAGCUACAAGUUCUCAAUCUCUAUGGCGUGUAUGAUCAAAACACAUCACAAUUGAAUUCUAACAACAAAUAGCGUGUUAUGAGAUGCAUAUGCACAUAUGUUAAAGUAUCAACCAUUGUCAUUUUUUUCUGUUCUAUUUCUUUUGCUUAUCAAAAUACAUUGAAAAUGAGCAACCUAACUACCAAAACAACAGUUUUUUGUUGAACUAUUAAAAAAAAGAAAUGGUUUUUUUUGUUCUUUUUCUUAAGCUUAUCAAAAGACAUCAAUAUGAGCUGCCAUCUGCGAAAAAAGUUGUUUUUUGCUUAAAAUAAUUUCAGAUUUUCAAGCAUAAUCAUUGAAUGAGAAAAAAAGAUAUGUAAUAAUAAAUUGCAUCAAAAUGCAAUUUAUUGCAGAGGGUAAAAUAACAUUUUAAGAUGAGCUAAAAUAGAGAUUUGUCGCAAGAUAAUUUCAAAUUUUCAAGCAUCAUGGGAAGAAAAAAGAAAAUCCCAAGAAUCAAUUGAAAUCCUUAUCCAAAUACAGGAAACUAAAAAGUAACUUGAUUUAAGAUGGAAACACAUACAAACAUUUGUAUUUUUUUUUACAUGUAUGUAUAAAUGGAAAUGGAUAGAGAUAGAUAGAGAAUAUGAAGCUACCUGAUUCCACUUUUCUUUUUCGCUUCAGUGAGGAAUUUUCAGCCAACUCCAGAACAUCCAUGGAGGCGGAGAAACUAAUAUGGAAAAAAUUAAAGAUCUUCC